CCAGCAGCCGCGGUAAUUCCAGCUCCAAUAGCGUAUAUUAAAGUUGUUGCAGUUGAAACGCUCGUAGUUGGAUGUUUCUGCGCCCGGGGUGACCGCGGAUUUUCUUGCAAGCCUCGCUGCGAAGCGGGGUUCUGCGAGCCCGGUCCUGCCCUGUGGCGCACCUACCUUUUCCCGAUUGUUUUGCGCGUGCCAUUUGUUUGGGGCGCGUGGGGCGCGGGGCGAUUACUUUGAAAAAAUUAGAGUGUUCAAAGCAGGCAGUUUUGCUUGAAUAGAUUAGCAUGGAAUAAUGGAAUAGGACUUUGGUUUCUAUUUUGUUGGUUUUGGGGCCGAAGUAAUGAUUAAUAGGGAUAGUUGGGGGCAUUAGUAUUGCACUGUCAGAGGUGAAAUUCUUGGAUUUGUGCAAGACUAACGUGUGCGAAAGCGUUUGCCAAGGAUGUUUUCAUUAAUCAAGAACGAAAGU
RNAcentral lists this ribosomal RNA (460 nucleotides) under uncultured eukaryote. RNAcentral describes it as "SSU rRNA". It matches the Rfam family "Eukaryotic small subunit ribosomal RNA", at positions 567 to 990 of the family's 1831-position model. The record is from RNAcentral.